GAACUUAGCAGAGAUGCUUUGGUGCCUUUCGGGAACUCUGAGACAGGUGCUGCAUGGCUGUCGUCAGCUCGUGUUGUGAAAUGUUGGGUUAAGUCCCGCAACGAGCGCAACCCUUUAUCCUUUGUUGCCAGCGGUCCGGCCGGGAACUCAAAGGAGACUGCCAGUGAUAAACUGGAGGAAGGUGGGGAUGACGUCAAGUCAUCAUGGCCCUUACGAGUAGGGCUACACACGUGCUACAAUGGCGCAUACAAAGAGAAGCGACCUCGCGAGAGCAAGCGGACCUCAUAAAGUGCGUCGUAGUCCGGAUUGGAGUCUGCAACUCGACUCCAUGAAGUCGGAAUCGCUAGUAAUCGUGGAUCAGAAUGCCACGGUGAAUACGUUCCCGGGCCUUGUACACACCGCCCGUCACACCAUGGGAGUGGGUUGCAAAAGAAGUAGGUAGCUUAACCUUCGGGAGGGCGCUUACCACUUUGUGAUUCAUGACUGGGGUGAAGUCGUAACAAGGUAAGCGUAGUGCU
Molecule: ribosomal RNA, 518 nt
Filed under: uncultured bacterium
Lineage: Bacteria
Description: bacterial SSU rRNA
Rfam family: Bacterial small subunit ribosomal RNA
Source: RNAcentral